CACUCACCUUUUUCCUUAGUAAGUGGACUAUAUGAAUACAGUAGAGCAAGAAGAUCGCCCAAAGAUAAUGCCAUACGAGAGCUUGUUGUAGAAGUGGCCUCAGUAACAAAGGUAGACAAAUCUGAGUAUAGAUAAUCACCUUCUUGCAAGGCUCUAGCGGCCAAGUGAUCAGCCAGUUGAUUACCUUCUCGAUAUGUAUGUGA
This 203-nucleotide long non-coding RNA is filed under the name Elaeis guineensis (African oil palm). RNAcentral describes it as "long non-coding RNA (EGUI_LNC014035)". Lineage: Eukaryota; Viridiplantae; Streptophyta; Magnoliopsida; Arecales; Arecaceae. The record is from RNAcentral.